Molecule: long non-coding RNA, 3434 nt
Organism: Humulus lupulus (European hop)
Lineage: Eukaryota; Viridiplantae; Streptophyta; Magnoliopsida; Rosales; Cannabaceae
Exons: 3
Source: RefSeq, a predicted model, not a curated record
ACACAGUGUUAGGCUCUCUCUAACCCUUUGAAGCAAAUUAAGCUGUCUCUUUCUCCUUUCCAUUUCGGUACCUCUUCUCUCAAGGAUAAUUCUUCUCUCUAUUCUCUCAAGUCUCAAUGGUCGCUCUUUACUCUAAACACUGAUUCUGGACGAUUAUGGUGAUCCAUUCCAGCUAAUUGUGUUUUGUAGAAGAGAUUACCCGACAACUAGCAAUUUAGAUGCUUGAUUGCUAGAGGAACUCUCAAAGCUUUAGUUGCAUAAGAUCUGUACCACUGAGAGAUCAUUAUUGUUGCAUGAAAGUAAAGAGGAUUGUGAUUGAUAUGUUAAUAGAAGCCAGUCAAAAUCUUAUAGCUAAGAACACUAUAUAUCACAACCUUUCCUCUUUCAUAUGCUUCAAGACUCUUCCAACAGGUUUUGGGUUGAAAAACUUUCCCAAACUAAGAAUUCUCAUGCUUGAUAAUCAAUAAAUGUUUGUUAAAGUGCCAAAGAAUACAAGAACCAAGCAAUCAAAAGUUGGAAGAAAGCUUAAGUUGCCAAUGGAAGAUGUCACUGCGUUCACAUCGUUAUAUAGCCUAAAUAUAGCGAUGUGAAUGUAGUGACAUCUUCCAUUGGCAACUUGAGCUUCCUUUAAACUUUUGAUUGUUUUGUUCUUGUAUUCUUUGGCAACUUAACAAACCUUUUUUGACUUUCAAACGUGAGAAUUCUUAGUUUAAGAAAAAAAAUUAACAGUAUUUUCAACUUAGAACCUUAUGGAAGAGUCCUAAAGAAAGCCUACCAUUUAUAGUGUCUCUAGCUACAAUAAGAUUUUGACUGGCUUCCAUUAACACAUCUCUCAAAAGCCUUCUUACCUUCAUGGGACAAUAAUGAUCUCUCAAUGGUAUUGAUGAUGAUUGGCGCUGAGCAGAGGAUGAAGCCAUUGACUUGUACCCAUCUCUUCCUCUCUUGUACAUCCAUUGCACCCAAUAGGUCAUACUUCAGUAAGUGUUUCUACAAGCUCCAAAACAGAAGUAAACAAAUAGACUCCAUCUUUUGUCAUUCCUCUUUUCUAGGUUCACUCGUCGUAUCCUCAAAAGUAAGUAUUAUCUAUGCUAUCCCCAAAUCUUGCGUAACGUGCAGUUUGUCUAAUAAUAUUUUUACUAUAACGUGGUAAAGGCUGAUCUUGAUUUAGUGAUGUGGUCUUGUUUGCUCCAACAUUUCAAAGCUGUAGUAGAAUAUAUGAGCUUAUCACCAAGUAACUCGUUGAGUAAUACUUCCCUUCGAUGUGUGGAGUAUCUCAUAUAGUCAAGCUUUUGGAAAGACUACUCUCAUUUGCAGGCACCGGGCUCAGGUUCUUAACUUAUUUGAAAUAUGAGCAAAUCCUAGGUUCUGACACCUUUUUAUCUAGCAAAAUGUAGCAUAAAGGGAUGUUCGGUAACUAUUAUUUAAAUAGUUUUCUGUUUAUUUAAAUGAAAAGUAAAAAAAAAAAGCAGAAAUCUCGUUUGGUAACUUUAUUUCUAUAUUUUAUUUCUUAAAAUUUCAAUUAAAAUUAUGAAAAUUAAAUAAUUAAAAAAAAUCUACUGUCAAUAUUUUUUUUACACUUUUUUCCUCCAACCCUCAUGAACUCUAUUUUUUUCUCGUUCUCAUUAGAGAUGCCACAGUUAUUAUUCUCCUCAAGGAUGCCAUAGUUACCUCCUCCAUUAUCACUUGAACCUAGCUAGCUCUAUUGUCUACUUCGUCAGGUAUCAUUUUAUUGCUCAAAGUACCAUUCUUCUCCCAAUCUCUUUCUUCAUAUUAAAAUUUUCACUCUAAUGUUGAUAACUUUUAUUGUGAGGGUUUUUGGAUCUGUAUAAAAAUGGCGUAAUUUCUAAAUCAGAUUCUUAGAGUUGGAUUUUUCUACCACCAAGGUUUGUGACCAAUGAGAUAGUGGUGUUAUUGAAGAAGGAUCGAUUCAAUGAAAUUGUUUGUGAUGUAUUUAUAAAAUGUCACAUUUCUUUCAUGAAACAUGUGUGCAGAAGUUUUUUCUAAGCUGCUGGUUCAAAUAUGUGGUAAAUUACACAAUCUUCUUCCAAAUUGGUUUGACCAACAUUGUAGCUGCAUUCAAAAAGAUUUUUUUAGCAAUGGGAAUGUUUAAUUUCUUGCGACAUUGAUUAUUAAUGUUGGUAUGAUACCAAGAAUAAGAGGCUUAAAAAUGUAGGUGUAAGAUUUGGUGUGUCGGACAUCACAGCAUAUGUCAGGAGUGCUUGUAAGUUAAGGGUUGAGAAUUCUAUAUUGCCAGAGAAAAAUCUAUAUGGAUAUGUGGUUCGUGGACAGCAUAGGGUAGUGAAGAGUAGGUAUGGGGUAGAUGAUGGUCAUUGGGAUACUGGUAGUGGGGGAAGAUUGUCGACUCGCAGUUCUUGGAGAGAUAUCUCGGCUUUGUAUGAGGAUUAUAGGCGGUUGAUCUGUUUCAAGGUGGGGAGGGGGGGAUAGGAUUCGCUUUUGGGAGGAUGUUUGGAUUGGUGAUGUUUCUUUAAAGUCUCAAUUCCCUGAUUUAUUUUUGGUGUCCCUGGCCAAAAAUUGCUUGAUUAAAGAUUUAGCAGUCUCGGGAGGUGAAGGGAAUUCGAGUGGCCUAGGAUGGAAUCUACAUUUCCGAAGGAAUUUGUUUGAUAGGGAGGUUUCUAGCUUGGCUCAGCUGUUACAUCUGCUUCAGUAUGUUGCUUUAUCGUCGAUUUUGGAGGACAGGAGGCACUGGAUUCUAGACAAUAGUGGAAUGUUCUCUUCUAAGUCUGUCUUUCAUAGUUUGAUCUACGCUCAUUUAGGCCCGGAGUUGACUUGAGCUAAGAAAUUGUGGAAGAGUGUCUCUCUUUCCAAAGUUAAAUUGUUUAGCUAGUUGAUAUUCAUGGAUAAGUUAAAUGUCCAUGUUAACUUCCAGAGGAGAAGACUCUUUCACUAUUUGUCGCCAAAUUGGUAUGUGUGUUGUAAGAAUGAAGGAGAGUCAGCUCGACAUUUAUUUUUGGAGUGUCCUUUCACUAGGAAGGUGUGGUUUAAAGUGCUUGCCGAGUUUGGGGUCUCUUGAUGCAUGCCUUCCUCUUGUUCUCAAUGUGCCAUUUAGAGGGAGGUAAGAGGGUGGCUCGAUUGUGGCAGAGUAUUGUGUUGGCGAUUCUUUGGGCUAUUUGGCUGGAGAGAAAUAGUAGGAUUUUUGAAGACGUUUCUUGUACAGUGGAGAUUAUCUGGGAUAAGAUCAAGUUCUGGAUUGCUACUUGGGUGUAUAGAUCAAGAGGUUUUGAGGGGGUUUCUUUUUUAGAACUUUGUAGGGAGUGGGGUAGUUUGUGGCUUUAACAGCUUAUGGGGAGUGUGGGGUUCUUUGUGUGUGUGUGUUUUUUUUGCCUUGUUUUUGUUUUUGUUGUUACCACGGUAUUCCUCCGCCAUAAGUGAGGGCUCUCAAUUUUAUUGAGAAGAGGUCAGUCAAUGACCUCUGU